This is a long non-coding RNA of Cyprinus carpio carpio, 1319 nucleotides long. The record is from Ensembl. Lineage: Eukaryota; Metazoa; Chordata; Actinopteri; Cypriniformes; Cyprinidae.
GCUCUAUUUUUACAACAAAAAAUAAUUUCAAACACAGCCACCAAAGCACAGUUUUGCGUCUCUAAGCAACAUGACAGUGUUUCGUUCCUGAAUGAAUCAAUGGUUUAAAUGAUUCGGUUCAAUCUCAAUGACUCACUUAUUAACAGUGACUUGCUGACACAUACUGGCCAUUUUAAUUUCACAUUUAAAGUAGCCCUGCAGAGUUUAGUUCUAACCCUGCUCCAGCACACAUAUCAUGUAGUUUUCAAAUAAGCCUAAAUGAUAAGAUUAGCUGGAUCAGGUGUGUUUAAUUAAAGUUAUAUCUAAACUGUGCAGGACUGUGGCCCUCCAGGAACUGAGUUUGACCCCUUGGCCUGUCCCAUUUUUGCCUCCCUCCCACUGUUAAAAUGUAACUAAGUAACUUUUACUCUGAGUAAAUUUUAAAUGAGCUACUUUUUACUUGUACUUGAGUAGAUUUUUAGACUGGUACUUUUACUUGUACUUAAGUAAAAUUUCAUUAAUGUAAUGGUACUUUUACUUGAGUAGAAUAUUUUUGUACUCUUUCCACCUCUGGUCAAUAGAUUUGAAGAAGUUUAAGCAACUCCAUGCUUCAACCUCAAAUCCUAGUAAUAUCAAGACUUUUCCCCAUGACUUAUACCAUUAAAGUUUAAAUUUAAGUUUGGCUUAAUUCACAUUCACUAUUCACUGAAUUCUGAUCAAAGUGUAUCAGUACAGUUUUAGAUUCAGGGCUGUGUGCUCAGGAGGGUUCAAUCUCAAUCAGUGCUGUAAUAUCAUAGGAUCUAACAGUAGGAGCCCACUGCUGGCCUGAGAAUAUAUUGUAUCUGUACUCCAAUCACAGCCGUGAAUGAAAUACUCACCGUGACCUUCACGAGAUUCUUAUCGUUAACCAUGUUCUUGCCUCAACAAAUUGAAAAGAUGAGGUUACUGUUGCUCAUAUCUGUAUAUCUGUAUAUCAGUAUAUCACAGUUUUUAAUUAGAUUCUGUGUGUUUUCAUAGUCACAUUACACUUUGUGUUACUGUUUUUAUUUACUUUUUUUUUUGAUCCUGCUAAAUUAAGCAGUUAGCGCCCUAGCAUGUUAAUCUAAAUUUACAACAAUACAGAACUUUAAGAAUAUAUCAUACUGAUUUAUUUGUGUGUGUGUGUGUGUGUGUGUGUGUGUGUGUGUGUGUGUGUGUGUGUGUGUGUGUGUGUGUGUGUGUGUGUGUGUGUGCAAGGAAAAUGAACAGUCAUAAACGGAUCCUCACAAAUAAGCCAAAUCUGAAGAUUAACUGUAUCAUUGUAGAAAAGAAAAAUCCAAACUGAAUAAUUUGAUCCCAAA